GUGCUCGCUUCGGCAGCACAUAUACUAAAACUGGAACAAUACAGAGAAGAUUAGCAUGGUCCCUGUGCAAGGAUGGCACGCAAAUUCAUGAAGCAUUCCAUAUGUUU
This is a small nuclear RNA of Piliocolobus tephrosceles (Ugandan red Colobus), 107 nucleotides long. Lineage: Eukaryota; Metazoa; Chordata; Mammalia; Primates; Cercopithecidae. The record is from Ensembl.